RNAcentral lists this transfer RNA (69 nucleotides) under Rhipidocerus australasiae. RNAcentral's name for it is "tRNA-Gln". Lineage: Eukaryota; Metazoa; Arthropoda; Insecta; Coleoptera; Cerambycidae. The record is from RNAcentral.
UAUGCUUUAGUAUAAGAUGUAUAAAAGUUUUUGAAACUUGGGGAAAUAGUUAAAUUCUAUUAAGUGUAA